RNAcentral lists this unclassified non-coding RNA (266 nucleotides) under uncultured Ascomycota. Its description in RNAcentral is "sequence contains 5.8S rRNA gene, ITS2, 28S rRNA gene". The stretch from base 1 to 52 matches the Rfam family "5.8S ribosomal RNA", at positions 103 to 154 of the family's 154-position model. Lineage: Eukaryota; Fungi; Ascomycota. The record is from RNAcentral.
AACGCAUAUUGCGCCCUCUGGUAUUCCGGGGGGCAUGCCUGUCCGAGCGUCAUUACUACCUUCAAGCACGGCUUGUGUGUUGAGCAUUUUGUUCCAUUCUCUGUGAACAAGGCUCGAAAUGCAGUGGCGAUGCCUUAAAUUGGUUGCCUGAACGUAUAGGGCUAUGUCACACGUUCUUGUGGCUCCAGUUGUGCAUCUUGUUCCAACUUCUAAAAAAAUAAUCUCGAAUUGACCUCGGAUCAGGUAGGAAUACCCGCUGAACUUAA